AACGAACGCUGGCGGCAUGCCUAACACAUGCAAGUCGAACGGGAUCCUAGCUUGCUAGGUGAGAGUGGCGGACGGGUGAGUAACACGUGGGAAUCUGCCUUUGUUCGGGAUAACCGCGGGAAACUGCGGCUAAUACCGAAUGCCCUCGAGAGAGGAAAGAUUUAUCGCCAGAAGAGGAGCCCGCGUCCGAUUAGGUAGUUGUGGGGUAAAGGCCUACCAAGCCGACGAUCGGUAGCUGGUCUGAGAGGAUGAUCAGCCACACUGGGACUGAGAUACGGCCCCAGACUCCUACGGGAGGCAGCAGUGGGGAAUA
RNAcentral lists this ribosomal RNA (313 nucleotides) under uncultured bacterium. RNAcentral's name for it is "bacterial SSU rRNA". It matches the Rfam family "Bacterial small subunit ribosomal RNA", at positions 29 to 363 of the family's 1533-position model. The record is from RNAcentral.